GUUCAGAGAGGGGUCAAUGUCCUAUCAGCUAGUUGGGAGGGUAAUGGCCUACCAAGGCGAAGACGGGUAGCCGGCCUGAGAGGGUGGUCGGCCACAUUGGGACUGAGACACUGCCCAGACUCCUACGGGAGGCUGCAGUCGAGUAUCUUUCGCAAUGCCCGAAAGGGUGACGAAGCGACGCCGCGUGUGGGAAGAAGGCCUUCGGGUUGUAAACCACUGUCAGGAGUUAAGAAAUGUAAGGGUGCUAAUAGUAUCCUUACUUGACUAAGGCUCCAGAGGAAGCCACGGCUAACUCUGUGCCAGCAGCCGCGGUAAUACAGAGGUGGCAAGCGUUGUUCGGAAUUAUUGGGCGUAAAGAGCACGUAGGCGGUUCUGCAAGUCGGCUGUGAAAGCCUUCCGCUCAACGGAAGAACAGCAGUUGAUACUACAGGACUAGAGUGCGGGAGGG
Molecule: ribosomal RNA, 448 nt
Filed under: uncultured Planctomycetota bacterium
Lineage: Bacteria; Pseudomonadati; Planctomycetota
Description: bacterial SSU rRNA
Rfam family: Bacterial small subunit ribosomal RNA
Source: RNAcentral